This is a small nuclear RNA of Molossus molossus (Pallas's mastiff bat), 191 nucleotides long. RefSeq annotates it as U2 spliceosomal RNA. The record is from RefSeq and is a predicted model, not a curated record. Lineage: Eukaryota; Metazoa; Chordata; Mammalia; Chiroptera; Molossidae. The transcript has a single exon.
AUCAUUUCUUGGCCUCUUGGUUGAGGUUAAGUGUAAUCACUGUUCUUAUCAGUAUAAUAUCUGCUAUGUCCUCUACUGAGGAUGGCAUAUUACAUGGGUUUUUGGAGCAGGGAGGCAGAAUAGUAGCUUUGCUCUGACCAUUCCGAAUGUCGACCCCAUGUUGCAGUACUUCCAGAAAUGGUUCAUCCCCU